Molecule: ribosomal RNA, 394 nt
Filed under: uncultured bacterium
Lineage: Bacteria
Description: bacterial SSU rRNA
Rfam family: Bacterial small subunit ribosomal RNA
Source: RNAcentral
UGGGGAAUAUUGGACAAUGGGCGCAAGCCUGAUCCAGCCAUGCCGCGUGAGUGACGAAGGCCUUAGGGUUGUAAAGCUCUUUUGGCGGGGAAGAUAAUGACGGUACCCGCAGAAUAAGCUCCGGCUAACUUCGUGCCAGCAGCCGCGGUAAUACGAAGGGAGCUAGCGUUGUUCGGAAUCACUGGGCGUAAAGCGCACGUAGGCGGACUUUCAAGUCAGGGGUGAAAUCCCGGGGCUCAACCUCGGAACUGCCUUUGAUACUGUUCGUCUCUAGUCCGGAAGAGGUGAGUGGAAUUCCUAGUGUAGAGGUGAAAUUCGUAGAUAUUAGGAAGAACACCGGUGGCGAAGGCGGCUCACUGGUCCGGUACUGACGCUGAGGUGCGAAAGCGUGGGG